AAGCGCCUGUGACCAGACUUGCGCCCCACGGACCACCCGGCGUUCUCGCCGGUGCACUCCGCGGGGUGCAGGCCAGCAUCGGUUUUCCUGGGGGGACAAAGGCCGCGGGAACGUAGCUCCUUCGGGAGUGUUAUAGCCCGUGGCGGCAUGCCCCCGGGGGGACCGAGGACCGCGCUUCGGCAAGGAUGCUGGCGUAAUGGUCACCAGCGA
RNAcentral lists this ribosomal RNA (210 nucleotides) under Ophiostoma valdivianum. RNAcentral describes it as "partial large subunit ribosomal RNA". Lineage: Eukaryota; Fungi; Ascomycota; Sordariomycetes; Ophiostomatales; Ophiostomataceae. The record is from RNAcentral.